This 600-nucleotide ribosomal RNA is filed under the name Triticum aestivum (bread wheat). RNAcentral describes it as "partial small subunit ribosomal RNA". The record is from RNAcentral. Lineage: Eukaryota; Viridiplantae; Streptophyta; Magnoliopsida; Poales; Poaceae.
AUGCAAUUUCACCUGACUUGUUUUGAAGAUCUCUCGUCAUUGGUGUCCACAAUGUCGCGGACAACUUGCAGCUGCCCCCCAAAGAAGUGUUUCCAAGGCACUUGUGACUGUUUAAUAGGGAUUGAGUUAUGCUAUUCGGGAUGCAACUGCAGUGGUGACUGCCAGAACGGCUUAUCUCUUGGAACAAUCAACCCGGCUGCUGCCCAAGGUACCACCCCAACGCUUGCCUCUGGCUCUUCUGCUGCCCAAGAUACUGCUCAAACGCAACCGCUUGCCCCGAGCUCUUCUACUGCCCAAGGUAUCGCUCAACCACAUCCACUUGCCCCGAGCUCUUCUACUGCGGCCGUGCCAAAGCCAGAGGCAGUUGGUGGGCGGGUGAAGUGCAACUGCAACUUUACCAAAUGCCUAAACUGCCAAUGCACAUGUUUCAGGGAGGGUUUGAGUUGCAUUAUGGGACGCUGCAAGUGCUAUGACUGCGAGAACAACGAUGAUUGGCUGGCCGACGAGGAUUACGUGGAGUGCGCGUGCAAAACCAAAAACUGCAAAACUGGAGCCUGCGGUUGCAACAAGAAACUGAAAGGGUGUAUGCAUCGGGUGUGA